AUUGAACGCUGGCGGCAUGCCUUACACAUGCAAGUCGAACGGUAACAGGUCUUCGGAUGCUGACGAGUGGCGAACGGGUGAGUAAUACAUCGGAACGUGCCCGAUCGUGGGGGAUAACGGAGCGAAAGCUUUGCUAAUACCGCAUACGAUCUACGGGUGAAAGCAGGGGACCGCAAGGCCUUGCGCGGACGGAGCGGCCGAUGGCAGAUUAGGUAGUGGGUGGGAUAAAAGCUUACCAAGCCGACGAUCUGUAGCUGGUCUGAGAGGACGACCAGCCACACUGGGACUGAGACACGGCCCAGACUCCUACGGGAGGCAGCAGUGGGGAAUUUUGGACAAUGGGCGAAAGCCUGAUCCAGCCAUGCCGCGUGCAGGAUGAAGGCCUUCGGGUUGUAAACUGCUUUUGUACGGAACGAAAAGACUCUUUCUAAUAAAGAGGGUCCAUGACGGUACCGUAAGAAUAAGCACCGGCUAACUACGUG
This 482-nucleotide ribosomal RNA is filed under the name uncultured bacterium. Its description in RNAcentral is "partial 16S ribosomal RNA". It matches the Rfam family "Bacterial small subunit ribosomal RNA", at positions 30 to 507 of the family's 1533-position model. The record is from RNAcentral.